CUUCACAUAAACUCACUCGCUAUUCGAAAAAGUGGCCAGGGUGCUGUGCAAAGUGGCAGCAGUGGAACGACUGUAGGAAAACGUGCUGUUGUUUCCGUUACCGUGGCCGCCUAACGCAGCCAAGCGGGGCCUAAAGGCUCUGCGGUUAAAGUCCCGGUGGACUGUGUCCUCUCGUUGAGGCAGUGGGCAAUGGUGUGGGCAAUGGUGGGCAGGACGGAUGAGGGCAAGGUCAUCCAGAUCCUAUGGCAUAAACACGUUGGUUACCGACCGUUUUGAACACUACCGGGUUCAUUAACCGAACUGACCGGUUAACGAUC
Molecule: long non-coding RNA, 317 nt
Filed under: Volvox carteri
Lineage: Eukaryota; Viridiplantae; Chlorophyta; Chlorophyceae; Chlamydomonadales; Volvocaceae
Description: long non-coding RNA (VCAR_LNC000777)
Source: RNAcentral